AAUCCAUAGGUUAAUGAGGCGAACCGGGGGAACUGAAACAUCUAAGUACCCCGAGGAAAAGAAAUCAACCGAGAUUCCCCCAGUAGCGGCGAGCGAACGGGGAGGAGCCCAGAGCCUGAAUCAGCAUGUGUGUUAGUGGAAGCGUCUGGAAAGGCGCGCGAUACAGGGUGACAGCCCCGUACACAAAAGCGCAUGUGCUGUGAGCUCGAUGAGUAGGGCGGGACACGUGGUAUCCUGUCUGAAUAUGGGGGGACCAUCCUCCAAGGCUAAAUACUCCUGACUGACCGAUAGUGAACCAGUACCGUGAGGGAAAGGCGAAAAGAACCCCGGCGAGGGGAGUGAAAAAGAACCUGAAACCGUGUACGUACAAGCAGUGGGAGCACCCUUUUGGGUGUGACUGCGUACCUUUUGUAUAAUGGGUCAGCGACUUAUAUUCUGUAGCAAGGUUAACCGAAUAGGGGAGCCGUAGGGAAACCGAGUCUUAACCGGGCGUUAAGUUGCAGGGUAUAGACCCGAAACCCGGUGAUCUAGCCAUGGGCAGGUUGAAGGUUGGGUAACACUAACUGGAGGACCGAACCGACUAAUGUUGAAAAAUUAGCGGAUGACCUGUGGCUGGGGGUGAAAGGCCAAUCAAACCGGGAGAUAGCUGGUUCUCCCCGAAAGCUAUUUAGGUAGCGCCUCGUGAAUUCAUCUCCGGGGGUAGAGCACUGUUUCGGCUAGGGGGCCAUCCCGGCUUACCAACCCGAUGCAAACUGCGAAUACCGGAGAAUGUUAUCACGGGAGACACACGGCGGGUGCUAACGUCCGUCGUGAAGAGGGAAACAACCCAGACCGCCAGCUAAGGUCCCAAAGUCAUGGUUAAGUGGGAAACGAUGUGGGAAGGCCCAGACAGCCAGGAUGUUGGCUUAGAAGCAGCCAUCAUUUAAAGAAAGCGUAAUAGCUCACUGGUCGAGUCGGCCUGCGCGGAAGAUGUAACGGGGCUAAACCAU
This 989-nucleotide ribosomal RNA is filed under the name Salmonella enterica subsp. enterica serovar Newport. RNAcentral describes it as "partial 23S ribosomal RNA". It matches the Rfam family "Bacterial large subunit ribosomal RNA", at positions 161 to 1190 of the family's 2925-position model. Lineage: Bacteria; Pseudomonadati; Pseudomonadota; Gammaproteobacteria; Enterobacterales; Enterobacteriaceae. The record is from RNAcentral.